UGGGGAAUAUUGCACAAUGGGCGAAAGCCUGAUGCAGCAACGCCGCGUGAGUGAUGAAGGUCUUCGGAUUGUAAAGCUCUGUCUUUUGGGACGAUAAUGACGGUACCAAAGGAGGAAGCCACGGCUAACUACGUGCCAGCAGCCGCGGUAAUACGUAGGUGGCGAGCGUUGUCCGGAUUUACUGGGCGUAAAGGGUGCGUAGGCGGAUGUUUAAGUGAGAUGUGAAAUACCCGGGCUUAACUUGGGUGCUGCAUUUCAAACUGGAUAUCUAGAGUGCAGGAGAGGAGAAUGGAAUUCCUAGUGUAGCGGUGAAAUGCGUAGAGAUUAGGAAGAACACCAGUGGCGAAGGCGAUUCUCUGGACUGUAACUGACGCUGAGGCACGAAAGCGUGGGUAGCAAACAGGAUUAGAUACCCUGGUAGUCCACGCCGUAAACGAUGAGUACUAGGUGUAGGAGGUAUCGACCCCUUCUGUGCCGCAGUAAAACACAUUAAAGUACUC
RNAcentral lists this ribosomal RNA (500 nucleotides) under uncultured bacterium. Its description in RNAcentral is "partial 16S ribosomal RNA". It matches the Rfam family "Bacterial small subunit ribosomal RNA", at positions 355 to 869 of the family's 1533-position model. The record is from RNAcentral.